This 371-nucleotide ribosomal RNA is filed under the name uncultured Glomeromycotina. Its description in RNAcentral is "LSU rRNA". Lineage: Eukaryota; Fungi; Glomeromycota. The record is from RNAcentral.
UUGAAAGGGAAACGAUUGAAGUCAGUCGUACCGACGAGAAAUCAACUUAUCGUGUGCGAACUUGUGGGCGUGCGUGAGUUUCGGCCUCGCUGUUUGCAUGUUUGUGUGCUUUGGGUGUACUUUUUCGUAUGGUAGGCCAACGUCAGUUUCGAUCACUAUAAAAUGACUGGCGGAAUGUAGCUUCGAUUUCGGUUGAAGUGUUAUAGCCUCUGGUAGAUGUGGUGAUUGGGAUCGAGGAUUGCAACGAAUACCCUUCUGGGCUAUCCGUCUGACCUCUGAAAGUCGCUCGGGUGUCGAAAGCGUGCUUAUGACAUUUUAGUUGGCGGUCAAAAGGUUAGAACGUGAUUACAUUCGUUAAGGAUGUUGACGUA